CAUCAGACGCAAUCUGCCGCAAAACUGUUGCGGUUUACCGCAUCAAUUGGAUACCCUGGCGAAACGCGAGGCUAAUACAUGAAUCUCAAGGGGUAACUCAAUCAAAGACUUCGGUCUUGGGUGCCCUGCAGAUGAAUGAAAUCAAAACCAACGCCCAGCAAUGGGCAGCAACACUCAGCAGUGUUGAAUCAAUUCAUCUCGUGCGAAAGCCGAUUUAUCGGCGUAUUUUGACGAACAACUGCCCUAUCAGCCAUGAUGGCCGUGUAGUGGACUGCCAUGGCGUUGACGGGAGCGGGGGAUUAGGGUUCGAUUCCGGAGAGGGAGCCUGAGAAAUGGCUACCACUUCUACGGAGGGCAGCAGGCGCGCAAAUUGCCCAAUGCCAAAACAAAUGAUGAGGCAGCGAAAAGAAAUAGGUGCCCUAAAUGCUCUGCAUUUAGGGCUUUCAAUGACCGAUAUUUAAAACCAUCGAACAUCGAGUAACAAUUGGAGGACAAGUCUGGUGCCAGCACCCGCGGUAAUUCCAGCUCCAAGAGCGUAUAUUAACGCUGUUGCUGUUAAAGGGUUCGUAGUUGAAUUGUGGGUUUGUUGGAUGUUGAUACUGUCCUCUUCACCACGAAGCAGGGCACUCACGCCACAAUCC
Molecule: ribosomal RNA, 641 nt
Filed under: uncultured bodonid
Lineage: Eukaryota; Euglenozoa; Kinetoplastea; Eubodonida; Bodonidae
Description: SSU rRNA
Rfam family: Eukaryotic small subunit ribosomal RNA
Source: RNAcentral